UACGGAGGAUCCAAGCGUUAUCCGGAUUUAUUGGGUUUAAAGGGUGCGUAGGCGGACCCGUCAGUCAGUGGUGAAAGUUUGCGGCUCAACCGUAAAAUUGCCAUUGAAACUGCGGGUCUUGAGUGUAAAUGAGGUAGGCGGAAUGUGUUGUGUAGCGGUGAAAUGCUUAGAUAUAACACAGAACACCAAUUGCGAAGGCAGCUUACUGGGAUACAACUGACGCUGAGGCACGAAAGCGUGGGGAUCAAACAGGAUUAGAUACCCUGGUAGUCCACGCAGUAAACGAUGAAUACUAGCUGUAUGCGAUAUACUGUAUGUGGCAAAGCGAAAGCGUUAAGUAUUCCACCUGGGGAGUACGUUCGCAAGAAUG
Molecule: ribosomal RNA, 370 nt
Filed under: uncultured prokaryote
Description: bacterial SSU rRNA
Rfam family: Bacterial small subunit ribosomal RNA
Source: RNAcentral